UACGUAGGGUGCGAGCGUUGUCCGGAAUUAUUGGGCGUAAAGGGCUCGUAGGCGGUUUGUCGCGUCGGGAGUGAAAUCCACUGGCUUAACUGGUGGCUUGCUUUCGAUACGGGCAGACUGGAGGUAUGCAGGGGAGAACGGAAUUCCUGGUGUAGCGGUGAAAUGCGCAGAUAUCAGGAGGAACACCGGUGGCGAAGGCGGUUCUCUGGGCAUGUCCUGACGCUGAGGUGCGAAAGCGUGGGGAGCAAACAGG
This 253-nucleotide ribosomal RNA is filed under the name uncultured bacterium. RNAcentral describes it as "partial 16S ribosomal RNA". It matches the Rfam family "Bacterial small subunit ribosomal RNA", at positions 524 to 776 of the family's 1533-position model. The record is from RNAcentral.